UUCUUUUUUCCUUUUCUUUCUUCUUCUUCUUCUUCUUCUUGUUCUUAUUGCGGGUUUGACAGGCGCUUUAGGAUCGUUUAAUGGGUUUAAUUGUUGGUGGAAAGGGGCGAAAUUUUGUGAAUGUGAGUUGUGGAAUAAUAAGAAUGGAAUAGUUGGGAAUUAUUUGGAAAAAUUGGGGCGAGUGGAUUGUUGUCAGGAAGUGAAAUUGUGUGCGAGGAAAUAAAGUGUACAUUGGGAAACUUGGAAUGGAAGAGUUAAAGGAUUAUUUGUUGAAAUAAGUGUGGUAAAAUUUUACAAGUCGAGAGAUUAUAUUGAGAAAGCGUGAUGUACGUAUAUUUUGAAUAUUUUUAUUUGUAUUUGAUUUUCUUGUCUGAUAUAUAUAUAUAUAUAUAUAUAUAUAUAUAUAUAUAUAUAUAUAUAUAUAUAUAUAUAUUGGAUGUAAGUAUCACUUUAUUUCCUGUAAUUCUUGCAAGUAAUUUUUACAAAUCGUAAUAUAAUUAUUAGGCGUUAUGUCGAUAUAAGUAUUUUUAAUUUACGCUGAAUUUCGUAUACAACAACAACAGAAGCGUUCCAGGAAGGGAUUAUCUUUGUAAACCUAUAUCAUCGUAUUUGGUUUUCUCAGAACAGCGUUCGAAGUUUGAACAAAAGUAAACAUAUGAUGUGUACAUCACGAAUGUCCCGUCGAAUGUUUUGUUGGAAUAGAAUUCAUCGCUUUAGAUCGUUCCCUUUUCAAAAAUGAAAUACAGUCAAAUUCGUGAGCAUUAAUAAACAAGUAAAUCAUUAUGACAGUGGAAAACGUACAGAGAUAUCGCGGAUGAGAUUAAAAGAGAAGAAAGGGUUCAAGCAUCGAAAUAUUAGAUUCCGUUUGAUAAUAAAAUAAUCAUUUGGAUAAAAAUCGUUUUGUAUUAUCGAUUAAUUUCCAUUUUCGAUCGCGUGUUAAUUAGUAUCGAUUCGACACACGGAUAUUAUUACGAUAAAAAGGGGGUUAAACAAGGAAUUCGAAAUAUCAUUUUGCCAUUUAAACGUUAUGCCACGUCGAAAUUACUCUCUCCACUUUUAUUCCGAGCAAAUCGAACGGACGAUCAACUCUCAUUCCCUCACCCUUCCCGCGGGAUACAAUUAAAAUUAAUUAUUUCCAAGGAUCAGCUAAAGAUACAUUCAAAUGAAUUCCCAUGAAUUCAAUGAAUAACAACUUGGAAGUGUUGCUGGAUGCAUAAGUUUGCGUUAUCGUGAAGAAAUGGAAAGGAUUAAAUGAAUCGAUCAAUUUUGGAUAAAAAUUGUAGAUAAUGUAAGAAUAUGUAAGAUACGUAUAAAAUGACGAAUUGUUCAAACAAUUUCUUCUAAUUUUACUACUAAAUGUAAAAAAUGGCAUAUCAAGAAUCAUUAGAAACAAAUGAUUAGACUGUGAUUAGACAGAAUAUUUGAUAGUUGAACGUGCAAUCUUCAAUGGCAAUUAAUAAAGAAAUUAGAAAUUCUUCGAGCGAUAAAUUAAUGUAUACAAAUUGUAUCAAAAUUGAAAUUACACGAAAGUAAUCUAGCAUUAAUUUUCUUGAAAAUUUUAAAAUGGAGAAAAUUUUGCAUGAUAAUUUAUGCAUUUAAUUAUUAUAUAUCUGGAAUACGAGAUGAUUGGACAAAUUCUCUCUUUCUCUCUUCAAUGUCCUGUUCGUUUUUGUCCACGUUCGUGUGAGAAAUGAGUCGAUCAAGUGGAUCAGAACACCUUGGAGGAUGAGAAUUACGGGUAUUCUAUAGGAUGCCAGUCAAUCUUUUUCUCGGGCUUCUUGCACGGUCUUUUCGACUUCGUCGAGCACCAGCGUCGAAGCGGAAGGAAAGGAUACUCGAGCGAAAGUGUAAAAGCGUGGACUAAAAAAAAAAAAGAAAGAAAAGACAAGGAUAAAACGAGAAAGACAAACGUUUCGAAACAAAACUGAAGAAAUUUAUGCAAAUAUUUUUCUGAGUAAAAGUUAAAAAAAAAGAAAAAAAGAAGAAGAAAAAACGAAGGGAAAUAAACGUGACGAGAGAAAACUACCCUCAAGAAAUAUAUUAUUUAAUCAAGGAAUAGUGGACAAGUAAUCCCGGCGAUGUUUAUUGAAAAUACCAAUGAAUAAAUGUCAUCGGUGUGUACGGGAUCUCACGGAAAUUCAGGGAUCGCGUGUAUACAACGCCGUGUAUAAUCGUAGCUACAGCCUCUCUAAAUAUUCAUAUCGCGUAUUCCGACCGAGUAUACGCCAUUUCCAGCGCAUGGAUCGCCGAACGAGAGUAUGACUGUAAGGCAUAAAAACCAUUAAAUACAGGACGAGCGCUAUUUAUUUCCCAUUUAAUCGUUCUUUCGUGAACGUGCCGCCAGCCCUUGAAAUCCCAUGAAUGCCCAAGACGAUCAUUUCUUCCCAACAACUUUUUCAUACGAGUUGAUUAUAAUGUUGCUUUCCUGUCUUUCUACAGAGUCCAAUUCCACGAAAUGAUACUUUUUAAAAAUCCAUCAAAAUUAAUCGUUUAUAACGAGAUAAUCUUCGAAUCGUAUUAAUAAAUACGGAAUGCGCCAACAAGGAAGGUUAUCCUUUACGUAAUUCUUCCCCAUUGUAAUCGUCGAAUAAUCCAAGCCCUUUUUGCUCAUUAAUAUCGAGAAAUAAUCAACAAAGUAUCCAACGAACGAAACGUGAAAUUAACGAGAAUCGUCCCUUUCGCAAAUCGUUUUUGAUAAUUAACGCAAUCCUAUCCGAUAUAAUAAUUAAUCCAUAUAAAACGAAUGUUAAUAAUUAAUCUAUAUAAAACUCUUUUCAUUUAGAUCCAGCAGAAGGAGAAGGAAUAAAGGAAUAAAGAAGGAACAAAGAAUCGAUUAUCCGAAAUUUAGACUUAUUUCAAGUAUCCUCGAGAAAUGAUAUACUUCUGCUUCUUUUUGCAAUUCCUAUCAUUUAUUCUUGGUAAUUUUUUCGAUAAAGUUAAUCCAUAUCAGAGAAUUUUAAACUUUAUUUAUCCGGAGGAAAUUAAUUUCAGCUAAAUCAUCUUAGAUUUCGAUCUUUCUAUUACUUAUUUUUCAGGAUUUUCAUUAUCGAUUCAGGAUCAAUUUCUUAUACCGUGUAAAUAUAUCACUCCAGCAAAGUCCAUUAAAUCCAUGUUUCGAUUUUUACAACGGGAUGGAUAUUCGAUCGCGAUAAGAAAUUUUUCUUUGACGGUAACACGAGAGGGCCGUGGUCGUCCGUUUAGUAUCCGUGCGUGGACGUUCUUUUUUUUUUUUUUUUCCUCCUCCAUUUUAUUUCCCACGCGCAAAUUCGUAUCUAUCUUACACGACAAAUAUUCGAUUCUACGAAAACGUAUUUCCACCGAUAGCUAUCACGGCAUGGAAACCACACACCGUUACCCGCGCUUCCGAGAUAUCUCGUCCGGGUUGUGUAAAUUUAUCGACCACUUGGACAAGAGCUAGGCACUCGAUACAGAGAACGUGGACGUAUGUUGGUACGGUAACUUAUCUAUAAAAUCGUUGUCCAGGAUUUCUAAUCAGGGAUGCGAUUUAAUUGCGUACAUAUCUGCGUAACGAAUCGAAAUCGUCCGUUUUCACGUUUGGUUAAAAAAAUAAGAGAUGAUCGAAGAUGACAGAAGAUCGUAGCGUUUCUCGAUCAAUGAAUUCUUUCAUUGGAGUUUGACGAAAAAUAUAUUUAGAUUUUGAAACACAAUAAUAAAAGCAAAAUCUUAUUAGCGAUGUAGUAGUUAAGCGUAGGUAUGCAUGAUCAUUGUUACGAAUUGCUGUGAUAUGCGUACAAAUGGAUUAAAUAGCAAUAUUUUUUAACGAUACAGAGAUUCUGUGGGUUUGUAUUUAAAUUUAAGACUCUAUGUAUAUUUUACCGUCAUAAAAAUUUGAAUGGAAAUUAUAAUUUAAACGCGUUGAAUAUUUUAUCAAAAUUUUCCAUUUUAAUCGUAUAAAUAUGCCUUCUUAUUUAUCAAAGAUUUUUCUCGAGGAAAGAAAUAUUGCAAUUUACCAACGAUUAAUCUAUCCUUCUUUUACUAUCAAUUUACUCAAGCUAUCAAGAUUUUCUUUGAUCGUCUAAUAAUUUCUCUUUAGUUAUUGACAUGCCUCUUUGAGAUAACCCUUUUCUGUCUUCCAACGUAACCCAGUUUACUGAAGUCUUCUUAAAGGGCUUCCUAUAAUUGCCGAUACUUGCUUUUCCUCAGUUUCUCAUCUUUGAUUAAUUUUUACAAUCUCUCAAAGCCCUCUUUUUUUAUUAAUUACAUUUUAUCCUUAUUAAUCUUUCGUUUGUUCCUCGGCGUUCCUGUUUCGUUGGAUAAUCUUUUUCAAUAAUCUUUAUGAAAUUUUAAAUACGCCGUUAAUUAGUUAUCCACCCUCUCCUCCACAAUUUUCAUUCCUUCUUGUAAAACUCCUUCCAUCUUUCGUGUAUGUAUAUACGCAAUAAAACUCUUAUCUUAUCCUUACUGAUCUUCCAUUCUUAAAUUCAUCUCGCAAUUACGAAAAACUAUUCCCUUCAAUAACGUUAUCCUUACACGAUAUAAAAAUCAUCAUCGACGACAUUAUCCUUCAUUCAAUAUCCAACGAACAAAACAAAUCCAAUCCCUCCCUCGUGUUCCAAUUUAUUUCCAAAAACCACUUUCCCCCUCCACGAUCGUUGGAUUCAUUUAUCCUUCCACCUAUUCCGACAAGACCAUCCCACUAUUAUACCAUCGUGGAAACACGCCACGCCAGCUCUGUCACGCACCCUUUAAUUCAUUAAGAUCCAAUUUCCCUUUUGUACCAUUGGCAAAGUAACUCAUCGACCCAUCUCGUCAUGUAAAUUCAUCGACCGCCGAGAUAACCUUCGUGCAAACCAUCCUCACAAACACACCGCGCAAACGAAGCGUGAACCCCGAGUCAAGCCUUGGCGGCAACGUGUUGGAUAUUGGUAAAGUUGCACGCGACAUUCUGCCACUCGAACCACCCAUCCACGAUUCCACCCUCGCCUCCCUUUUCGAGCAAGGAUGCGGUCCUCGGUCACGAGUUUCCUCGAGAAGCCCGGCCAAGUCGUAAUAAAAAGGCCGUGAGCGAGCGAGGGUAAAUGGCAAAGGGGGUUGAAAGGGCGCGACGCGGUUCGAUGCAUCGCGAUAAAACGAUACGAUCGAGGUACGCCCUCGAGUGGCGAAGAUUCUUCGUGGAUCAGCACGGCGAAGAGGAGGGUGAGGGUGAUGAUGGGCUUGGCGCGAUCGUAUUUAUGAUUGUUGACUUAUCCGGGGAUCCGUGUUUGCCGUGACUUGUUACGCAACUCGGCGGAGGAAAGGACAAUUGGACGAUUGUUCCCUCCUCGAGAGAGAGAGAGAGAAUUUUGUGUUUAAACUUUUGCGAUUUCUUUCUUUUGGGACGCUUCGUGUUUUCAAGUAGAAAGAAGAAAUGGGAUAAGAAUGAAAUUUAAUUUGAUAAUUCGUUGAAUGGAGUCGGUAGGUUCAAGUAGUUAAAUUGAUAAAGGUAUUAUAUGCGAAGUAUAGGUGAAAUUAAGCAUAGAUGAGGAGGUUAAAUUUAAUUAUUACAAUGAUUUGCGAUACAAUACAGCGAAGAGUGAAAAUUGAAUAGUUUAAAAUGGUGUUAAAUUCGUGAAAUGCGGUUGAAGAUAUUUCGUGGAUAUUUGGUGGAUUAAAUGGUUAGAAGUAAACAAAAUUUGAGCACAUGGGAUAAUAUAGUGGUUAAAUAAUUAGUUUAUGACGAAUAUAGAAUGUGUAAUUGUAACAAUAGCUUAACUUAAGUUUAAGUUAAUUGUUAAUUAUUCGUGAAAAACGUAUUAAUCGAUCGUUUAAAUUUCGUAAAAGUAACAAUAUAACUUAAACUAUCUACAAUGAAAGAUCUAAUUUUAAAAAAAUUUUUUCCCCAAAAAUAUUCGUAACAUUAUAUUCAUCAUUGUUCAUUUUCCAGAAUAUAUCGUUAGAAUCUGUGUUAAAUUCAAAAAUAUAUUUAACAGGACUUCGGAAGAUAAAUCCUAAAAAAUUUCAUGCAAAUUGAAUCAAGCACGUUUAAUUAAAUUUACACGAUCGUCUCGAUUCUUUAGACAAUUCUUUUUCUUUUAUUACACUUUUUUUUUAGAAUUUUGAUCGAUAUUUUUAUACAAUUUUGGUCUCUCCUUCUUCUACAAAUAUAUCGACGUUCCGUCAUAAAUUCAUAUUUCUUUCUUUGUCAGUCGCUCGAUCUUUGCAACCUCGAAUCGUGGAUAACCCUUAUUCCCUCUCUCUCUUUUUCUCAUCCUUAUUCGAUGGAAUAACGAGCGUUUUCGUCGUCGAGAAGGCGAAACCGAUCGCCUGGACUAAGUGGACCGAAUGAAGACUAAUGGGAAUGAAAAAUGAGAAACGAGAGGAAGAGAGAAAGAGAGAGAGAGAGAGAGAUGGCAGGGAUGGAAGGGAGUGGACUGGAGUCCUGUUAGUAUUCAUGGAAUUCCAUGCAUUCGGAUUAUUAUUGAUUCGACGCGACGCGUCGAAGAAAUUGGCCGUGUUGGAUUGCGGUUUCCGCGACGAGGUUUUUGCCGCUUUUGAACGUGCCAACAUUUUUCAGUUUGUUGGGGAUUUGAUUUAAUUGUGCGUUAUAUUUGAUCAAGAUGAUUAAAUGAAAUAGAAUAAAUUUAGGAGGAGAUGAAUCAUCGAUAUUUGAAUUGAUAGAGAGAGAAAGAGAUGAUUCGGAGAAAGAAAUUUUUAGUGUUGAAUUUUAAAAUCAACCUGAAUCGAAUUUUUUGAACAGAGAUUGAACAGAGUAUCGAUGUGAUGAUAUAAAAGGUGAAGUAGUAGCAUCUUCGUUUUUAGUUAAUCACUGGAAAAAAUUAUGUUCAAAGAGAAAGAAUCAAAUUAACAUAUUCUACAACUAUUUAUUCAGAGAUUACAAAUUAAAAUGUAUAUCGAAUUUGAAGGUAUCAAAUUCAAUUCAGACACGUUACUAAGAGAUUCGAUCGACCCUUCCUCAAUUACGUCAAAUUAUUCCACGUUUCCUAAAAUAUCAGGCUAAAUAAAUCGAUCCCAGACGAAAAUUAAAAAAAAAGAAAUCCACAGAAAAAAAGAGAAAAAGGAGAAAACAGAUAGAAACGAGAAAGAAAUAAACAAACCCGGACAAAAUUGCUCGAUGACGUGGGCGGAUAAACGAGAGACAAGGCUCGCUAAUACCAGCUCGAAAAACAAGCGCGGCACAGCGUGCUGCCGGAUAUAUACGCGCGCCAGUAAUUUUUUAAUUGCGUUUCCAUCGGACAUUUUUAUGGUCGACUAUUCCUCGCGUGGCUAUAGCCAUCGCGCAUCCGGUCACGACCAAUCCCUCCCCACCCACCCCAGAAACCAUUUCACGCAGCCCACCCCACUGUGUAUGUGUACCCAGGCUGUGUGUACACGCGGAUGCGCGCCCGUUUUAACCCUGCGAAAUUAAAUGAAUCUGGGUUGCUUCACGAGCGAGCGAAAACACGCGAUAAACACAAUUGCCGCGCCGAGUCUCUCCUCGCUCUAAAGUGUUCAUCCGCGCACGUGUCUCGCCCCGAAUACGACGACUUGAGAUGGUGAACAUGGAAAAUGCGUCGAACUUUAAACUUUUGGAAUUUUGGGAGAAUUAUUUUUGCGUGGAAAAGUUAGACAAUUGGUUUGGUAGGUGAUAAUUUUUGUAUUGUAAAUUUUUUAGUGUUACUCGAGAAGCUCAAGUUCGUAUGGAAAGUUGGAUCAUGGUGAAAUUGGAUAUAUGGUGUUGAAGCUUGGAAUAUGAUGAAUUUUUUUAUCGUAAAGUUUCUCCAUUUCGGAAACGAAAAUUAGUGGAUAUUGAAAUUAAGGAGGAUUAGAUCGGUUCGUUAAUUUUUAUUUUUAGAUUUUUAGCCUGUGUGAUUUGGGUAUUGGUAAAAAACGAUUGUUCAAUCUAAAUCUCAAUUUGUCUGCAGUAGUCCAUAGAUCACAAUUAGUCGAGAUUUCCUAGCCUCGUUAAUCACCGACCUACGCACUGAAAGUAUCGAUGUUACUUCGAAUAAAAGACUAUACAGGGAUGCCCGAAAGUAGCUUUUUGUAUGAAUUAUUAAUUACGUUAAAAAUUGAUAAUCGAAUAUAAAAAUACAACGAAGUAUAUUAAAAGGAUAUUUUUUCCAAUAAUAUCCUUCUUCUUUCGCAUUUACUUAUAAAUAUUUGUCAAAAUUAUCGUCAAGCGUCACGCGACUAAUCCAACCAAAAAUUAAUUCAACUGAAAUUUCACAAAUACUUCGUCACAAGGAUUAAUUACAAAAGCCCAGUUACCGAAGAAGACUCUAUAUUUACAAAACUCUCCAAAGGAAAUCCUGCUAAGACUGUGCAAUAUAUACACUUUCCCCAUUUUCUUAUAACAUUAAAUUUCACUAGCUAAGAAAAAUAACCUUCGUAACGCGCACGAGCCAGCGAAGACACUCGAACGAAUCCAAUUUAAACGGAAGAAACGAAGCAGCCACAUUGUAUCGGGCAUCCCUUCCACGAUCUUAACGAUGCACAGGCUGUGCUCACAAUCGACUCUCGCCCCCCUUUCGAUCAAUUUACAUGCCCUUCCGGUUAAUAGCCUGUCUUCACUUCCGUCCCACUCGACGACUCAUCGCCUCUCCCCUCCGUUUGUUUUUCUCUCUUUGGGGUCCGAGUUUUCCUCCCCCUGCCUGCCUGUCUCCGCUCGGCCAUUCCACCAGACCAGGAUCAACGAAGCUUUUAUUAGUUCGACGUGGUGCGACGGUCGUGGGAGGAGGCGUCGAUGCUCGGCGGGAAAGCGGCGGAGACAAAAGGGGAGAGGGGAGGGCAGAGGGUCGAAUUCCCAGUAGAUCACUGUCAGGCCUCGAGAAGCCAAUAUAAAUACCUCAACGCCUCGCCAGCUUUGCUUCUCGCGUUGCUGCUAGCCCGUUGUAACCUGUCUGUCCCGUUUGUUUCCCCCCCUCGCGCUCGUGGAACAGGCACGAUUUGGAUUUUUCACUCGUGGAAUGUAUUAUGCGCGUUGUUGUUGUUGUUGUUGUUGUUGUUGCAGGCAAAAAAAGAGAAGCGUUUCAUCGUUGACGGGAAAUUGAUAAUGGAUUUGAACCGGUUUGUAACGAAGGAUGAGGAAAAAUUGAUGAGGAUGAGUUUAUAUAAUCAAUUUGAUCUUUUAAUAAUCCUUAGUUUCUAUAUUUUAUAUACAAAAGAUUUGAGCAUUAAAAUAUCCGUAUAUCCAUAUUUGAUGCUUCCAUUGAAAAUUCGUUAUUCAAUAUCUGGAACGUUUAAGUUUAAAAAAAAAUCCGGAGGAAUAUUGGCAAAGAUAGAUAUACGAAUUAUAAAUAUUCAUUGAAAAGUUUGUAAAUCGAUCGGAAUGAAAUUUUUAACGCGAUUCCAAGUAAGACGAAAGUUUAUUAAUUAUACGGGCAAUUUCAUUUAGACACGAUUAUUGAAGAGGGUGUAAAAGAGGGGGUGAAUGAAGACGUUCUUCAUCGAGCAAGAAGUAUUAUACAAGGCCGGUGUCAGCCCCGAGAACGGAUUAUUCCACGUGCAUACGAGUUCAUUUUGUUGCCUCUUAUUCUCGAGCCGAGCUUCCGUUUUCCUUGCGGUGAACUAGUUUCCUUCCGAGCGGUACGUGAAUUCAAAUUUGACGUGGAGAACUCUUAGAAUAUCGGUACGCGAGUUAGUUAGUCGUUGCGCAACGACACUCCUUGGGAGACGCAAGAAAAUCCUCACGGUCGCGGUUUAUCCCUGGGGAAACUUAAUCGCGAUUGUUCCGCCCUCCUUUCCCAACACUGGAGUAUCGUUGCCUCGAAGAGAAUCGUCUAUUUAACGCGAAGAGAAGUUUCUUUGCUCAUUAGAAAGACUAGGAGCAUCUUAUGGUUGUCUGACGACGCUGGUCUUCUUUCAACUUGAUUAGAUUUGGACGUCUUCCAUUUAAAUUUUAGGUGCGAAGAGAGAUAUUUAGUCAAGGGAGUCUGUAUUGUGUUAAAUUUGGUUUUAUUUUUCUAAGGGGGAAUUGGAAAUGUUUUAUUUAUCGUUUAAAUAAGACUCGAUUAAUUAACUCGAAGAUAUUGAUUCUCGAUCAAUGGAUGAAACGUCAUUGGAGACGCGAAAUUUUGUUCUUUAAAACGCUUUUUUAUUUAUUUCGACGAGAUAUCAUCGUGCAAAGAAAAGAGUAUUUUUUAAUCCGAUUAAAUCGUAUUAAAAUUAGCAAAACUUUAAACUGCUAUAACUCGGAGGAUAAUAACUUCCGGUUAACGGAUAAAAGAUCAUUAGAAGCGCGAAACCUUACCCUUUAAAACGCCUUUUCACUUAUCAGGAUACGACUUCCGGUUCCCGAGAUAUCAUCGCGCAAAGAAAAGAGUAUUUUUUAAUCAUUCAUCUUAAAUCCGAUUAAACCGUAUUAAAAUUAGCAAAACUUUAAACCGUUAUAAGUCGGAAGAUAAUGACUUCCGGUUAACGGAUGAAAGAUCAUUAGAAGCGCGAAACCUUACCCUUUAAAAUGCUUUCUCACUUAUCCCGAUACGACUUCCGGUUCCCGAGAUAUCGUCGUGUAAAGAGGAGAGUAAUUUUUAAUCGUUUGCUAUUUGCAUCCUUAUCGCAUACUCGGAUCUUUCGCUCGCUCCUCGUCUCACUGACCUAUCCCAAAUUCCAGACAAGUGCCAGACGCGAUUCCUAGAAAAACAUAGUACGCAUGUAAUGUAGGUCAUGGUUCCAUUCAUAAUCUUUGCGCUAUGUUAAGCGUUACGGGCAACUUUAAAUCCUCGUAUCUCGGCAACGAAUUGAGAUAUCAGGAAAAAACAAAAAGCGAUUUCAAUGGCAUGGUUUUCUCUAUUCUCUGAAUGGAUUUUGAUGACCGAAUUUUUAAUUUUUCCAUAUGUUUUUUUACACGAAAAGUCGAUCAAUGUUUAAAUAUCAUAUGUUUUAAUUGCAUAAAAAUUUGUAUUUAAAUUUGUAUUUAUUAUCGCGUAGAGUCGAUUAUUCUAUACGGGAUUUAAAGAUUUAUUUGUUUGAAUGGGUCAAGCAUGUAACUAUCCCCAGACGGUCGUUUUUCAUCUGUCUUUUGGGCGACAGAAGCUUGACGGCGCGGAGAAUUGGUAUCCCUUCCAAGAACACGUUCUAAGAACACACUGGAAUAUCUCGUCACGUAGGUCCACUGAUUCAAGGCGGCCAGAAUUAAGGCAACUUGCGCUCCAAAGUUUGCCUCCUUUUUUCCUGAUGGCCAUCCAAACUUGAGACUGAUUCCUGAUUUCACGGUUUUUACCACGUAACACACGGAUAACCAUCAUGAGAUUUUCUUCAAUAUCCGCCAAGUUUCGCCUUGUUUUUUGCCUUCCAUGGAGUCACGACUUCGGUUUUACUCUUUUUAUAUUUGAUUUCUCCAUUCUAGUGGUUGCUUUCAUAUUUUCUCUUGAUCUUUUAAAUGUAAUUUUCUUUCCUCUUACAAUUCCUUAGUAUUUCAUUUUCUUCGUUAUUUUUAUCUCUCGUUGAUUCCUUUAUAUUUUAUUUCCUUUUACUUCUGAUCUUUUUUGUACUUUUUUUUUCUAUUUCUAAUCCUUUUUUUAAAUUUAUAUCGGAGAAGAAACACUUAAUUAGUAUGAUAGGUGGUAAAAUCAUAAAAAGACGUGGUAUUUUUAUCUUCAUAAAUAUAAAUGAAAUAUUAGGCUAAAUGUAUACGUGUUGUAAAAAUUUUUUCGAGAAAAAUAAAACAUUGCAAAUUUAGUUUUUUUUAGGAGAAUUAUACAAAAAUUACAUUAUUAAUUUGUUUGCAAAUUUUAUUUAUAGAACAGAUAUUCCAUUCACUGAUCUCGUUCAUUAAUUUUUCUAUAUUUCGCAUGAAUUACUUGAUACAAUUUUUUAAUGAAACGUUAGCUUUUUAUUGAAGCAUUCGUUUCAUACUUUAUGAAAAGAAUAUCUAUACUUCAAAAAAUUCAAAGAGACAUUCAAAUUAUUUUAAUAAUGAAGCGGUGAAAUGAUUUCAAUUAAAAAAUCGUACGAAAAAAAAUGUUUUCUCCUUGAUUUCCGUGUAAUAAAUUAAUAUUUUGCGAUUUAGAUUAUUUUUUAAUGGAAUUUAUGGAACGACUUCGUGUAAUUAUUGGUACAACAUAUUUAUAAUUUAUUUUCAUUUAACUAUACGUUAUCGUUAUUUGCGUUACAAAUGUGCAAUCAAAUUGAAACAUUAUUAUUUUAAUAAAAUUUAUAAUACUCUGUUUAUAUAAAAUGUUUGCGAUACCAGUCCAGUUUAUUGUUCAAAUUGUAAAUAAAUAUCAGCAAAUAUGAUUAAACAUCGCAGAAUUCUCAAUAUAAAUAUCGUUUUAUGUUAAUCCCGCGGAUAGUAACUAGCAAAAGUAUUUACAGUUGGCGAAGUGCAUCGUGUGCCUUCAACUCUUUAAACAAUAAUUCCGCAAUUUUAAUUUCGAACCUUUACAAACUCAAUCUCGUUCUCGCACAAAUAUUGUUCCAUCGCAACACGUGUGCACUGCAAAAAGGAAUACAACGAUUCGUUCGGCCAACAAAAACGAUCGUUACAACCCUUUGGCUUAAACUAAAUUCUUGAAACACUUUUUAUUUUUGAAAAAAUAAUUUUCGACCCUGAAUACAUUUUCGUUAAUGAUAAAUAGAAAUUUAAUCAGAAUUUAGGAAAAAAACUAUAAAACACCAAUAAAUUUAAUUCGUUCGUUUAAUUUUACAUCAAUUUUUCCAAGAAACUGGUAUUCAAAUUCAGAAUCGACGAGAUCGUAGAAUAUAAUAAAUCUACGAAUUUAGCAUAUUUUUUAAAUAUAUAUAUAGUUAUAUUUUAUUAUAUUUUUAACAAUUUUUUUAUAAUACAAAAAUUAUUACAUUAUUUUACAAUGAGACUUCGAUUCCUCGUCGCAUUUAUCUUGCACGAUACUUUCAUCACCUUGACGAUGAUUUCACCGUCGAUCCCGUAUGCCACGUGAGUAUCAGAGUGGUUUAAUGAGCCAUCCCGUUUCUCCAGUCUCGUCUACAGCCGUUUCUCUCGCCCUCCGCCCAACGACCUCGGAUUUCCAACCUCCUCCUCCUCCUCCUCCCUUCGAAACUCUGUCCCUCGCAACCCCACCCCUUCUCUCUUUCGCCGUUUCACGGCACCUGUGCUACCAGCCUCGGUCCUGCACAACCUUCGCCACCCUCACAAUUACGUAGCGCGUGAUCCGACUAGAGAAACAUACACCACAACUAGCACCCCCACCACCAACUCCCCGGAGACAGAGACCGAGGGGUGGUCUCCUUCCCCUUUCGAAAGCAUCGCCUCUUGCAUUCACAACCGAUUUUUCCCCCUUCCCUUCCACCUGAUUUCUCCCUUCUUUUCUCGUUUUUCAAAUCCCUUUUUACCUUUCGCAAACCUUGCCCUUUGCUCUUCCCUCCUUUUUGAAUUUUCUCUCUCUGCAUUCUUCCGUGUAUAUCCUCACGAUUUCGAUCCCUUCCUCGAAAUCACAAAGUCUUCUCCGUCUUAUUCCAGCUAUAUACACUCUUCCCCCGCACUUAAUAUUCUUCGUUUUCCUUUUUUACGACCGAUUUCUUUUCUUUUUCUCUUUUUUUUGCUAAGCUUUGUUCGAAGCGGUAGAACUUCCUUAUGUUUUGAGUCUCUUCAUAAUUCUGUUUCUCCUUUUUCUUUUUUUCUUUCUUCUUUUUUUUUUUUUACGUUUUUUUACGUUUUCCCCUUAAUCCUCUUUUCUUCAAUAUUUCAACUUCUUACCUUUUUCUUUUUUCUCUCUGUCUCAAUCCCUCUCAGUUUCUUCUUUUAUUUUUCUUUUUCUUGUCUUUUUCUGCUCCAAUUCCGUUCUUUCAACAGAAUUGUCGUCUUUUUUUUGUUACUGCUACUUAUUGGGACUUUUUGCACUGUUAUUAAACUGCAUAUUUCCCAUUUUUUCAUUCUCGUUUCCUUUUUUAAUCUUGCUCCCAGUUGCCAUUUUCAAUUUCAUUAAGUGUUAUCUCGAGUGUUGCGCCUCUGCGUUCCCGUAAUCUUUUACAGCGGCUAAAGUUAACGACUUGUGCCGACGUCUGUGUGAUUUUGUAUCAAUAUGAAUACGAAGAGCGAAUCGUGCAACAGGAUCAUUUUAUUCCAUUCUUCGUAGAAAGCUUACAACGUGGUUAGAGAAGACUUUUUUAUCAAUAUUUUAUUUUCCAAAAUUUUUUAAAGUCGUCUACAUUAGUGAGAUUUAUUACGUCUUAUUUUAUUUAUUAAUUACAUUGUUCAGAAUUUUGUUUGUCGCAAAUACUUCAAUUUUGACGUCAUUUUUUUGUUCGGUAAAAUUUCAAUUCCACUUUUAAUCAUUUCAUGUGUAACAUUUCGUUGGAUUAAAAAACAUCCCUGAGUUUCCUUUGAUGAAAAUAUCGUUCAAAAUUGUACCUUUAUGAUACAAAAAAUUCUAUUUAAUUCAAUAAUAUUUUCUCUUCGUCGAUAAAUUUUCAAAAUCAAUGAAACUUUUUAAAUAUGUUAAAGAAUGAUAAAUGUAUAUCUCUUAAAAAAAUCACGAGAAUCUUAUAAGAUCGUAGUUUAGUUUAGUUCAUUUUGUGUGCAACGAUAAUAAUAAUAAUAAUAAUUAUUCUCGUGUUACGUCAUCGUGUUAGGUCACGCUAGAUUUUCAUUUUGUAAAAUCCUUUCGAGGCCAAACGAAAAAUCGAUAAUUCCUGAAGAAGCUAAUAAGUUGCCCCUGAUAAGAGGGUCAGCGACGAUCUGGCUUGAAUUCUAGAAUUUUGACUUGAGAUUUGACUUGGAAAACCGACGAAACUGCAGUUUGCAGAAGCUUAACUUGCGCGCUGAAAUUCGAAACUUUACCUUUGAGGAAAGCAUGAAUCGGUAUUAACUUGAGUGCACCGCGGCUGUUUAUCAAAUAUAAACUGACCAAUAUUAUCGCGUAUGAUAAAGUUUCUCUCUAUAUUGGCUGUGUUUGUGGACGACUAACAUCAUUUCGCGAUAAGUGGAAAUUUUCUUCUGAUCGAUACGGAAUGUAUCGGGGUGGUAUAAUUUUUAAAACGUUCCUUUUUAAUAAUAAUAGUUUAUUUCAAUGAUGGAUCAUAAAUAAACUGUUUUUAAAUUAACAUUUCUCUUUUUAAGAUGAUAACAAGCCACGGGGCGAUUUGAUAAUUUGAUCUUUGUUUCUUGUACAAAUUCUUUAUCAAAUAUAAUUUUGACUGCAAAGAUUGGUAAAAUUCAUUGGAUUCCUUUAGUCAGCAUUCAAAAUUUAUAAUGAUAUUAGAGGGGCUAAAGGAAAAUCUGAGGUUUUAAUAAUAAGCUAAGUUGCCGUUGUAAAAUUACGUCUUUUCAUAAGCUAAAUAGUAGAUUUCCAUUGCCGUAACCGUUUUACGAGAUAGCCGGGAAAAGGUAAGGAAACAGUAUGAAAUCGUGAAAUCGGAUUUAAAAUUCUUAUUCACACCCUUCCUUAUAAUUAUGAAUCGAAAUUUCGAAAUUUUAAUAAAAAAAAUACGUACAAAAUUUCUCCUAACAAAUAAUUCAUCGAUAUCGAUAAGAAAUCUUCUUUUACUUCUUUAAUUUAAAAAUUUAUCCUUAUGAAAUAUCCUACUAUAUUAUUACUUUUAUGCUAAUACACAGUUUAUGACUCAUGUUACAUAAUAAUAAAAAAGUAAAAACUGGCGUAUAAAACCUUUUUUUUUUUUAGAGAUGAUAUAAAUGAUAUAAUUUUAUAAUCUUCGUAUUUUCUUCGGAAUAAUGAAAUCAAUGUUAGCAGCGUUACAAGAUUCUUCGCUUAGCUGUUGCACCUCCGCGUGUUCAACCCUACCGCGAUUAAUUCAUUUAUACGCUUCUCGUUUAAUAAUUAGCGCCGGCUUGAACUUCUAUCCAUAAAUGCAGAGUGGAACACAGUGUUCCCGGCUUCCUGGCUAACUUUUGUAAUCACUUUAAGUGCAGUCGCGUACGACUUGAUGAGAAUUCGAGCGAAUGAAACGAACACGAAAAUCCGUGGCAGUUAGAAUGCUGAUGCUCUCGCUCGAAAAUCGCGCCGUUUAGGAAAUUGAUACCGAUUCCUUCCUUCGUUUCGAUGAAAAUUGGUUACAGAUAUUGGUUACAGCCGUUGCGAAUAAUCGGGCAAGAAUUAAUUCGUAAGAUGUGGUGGAAUUUAAAAAUUAAGCUUUCGUUUUAAAAUUGGCGAGAUCGACGAGAAUAUCGAUGAAACGGAAUAAGUCUCGUUUGGAAUAUUUAUUUUCGCCAAAGAACUACUCCUAUUUUUUUUUAAGUUAUGCAGAAGAUUAUGCAGUUGAUUGUAUUAUUACCCACCUCUCUCGUCAAACUUUUUCGCUAUGGGAAAGGGAAUUUUUUUGAAUAUUAUCUUGACAAUAACACACACAAGAUUUCCAUAGAACGGGGAAACUAAUAACAGAGCAAUUACAACAAGUUUUAUCGCGUCGUCGAAUAUUCAAUGCACGCUUUUCGAUGAAAACGUUCGGUUGAAAUAAAACUUUCAUCCGUCCGCUUAUUCCGAGGCCAUUUUCUGGCCAUUGCCUACGCAAUUUUUGAACAUACUCGAAAACCACUUUUGCACAUUCGAUUGAAUGUCGUGCAACUCGUUUCGUAUUGUUUUUCAUCCUUUCUUCCGCGUUCUCCAACAUAUUUUACACUUCGAUAUAUGGAUUUUUCAAUGAAACAAAUCGAAACAAUUUUGAUGAACAAAUAUCGAGGACGAAUUUUAAUUUCAACAAAUUAUUUCUCUCUAGUGCGUAUAUAUAUUUCAAUUUAUCCAACGUAUUUCUUUUUUCUUUAUACGAAAAUUAUAAAUUCGUUUUUUAUUAGUUGCUCCAUCUCGAAUUUCAAAUAACUUGCAUAUAUUAUUACAAAUUACACGAGUUUUUAUCGCAAUUACAAAUUUAUUAUUUUACAAAAUAAUCAUCGACACGCACAGAUAUAUAUAUAUAUACAUAAUCAAUAAACUAUUUUUAACUAAGAGCUUCGAAUACAAUGACCAUAUUCGAGAACGACAUUCAAGAAAUAACGACAACAAUUAUGCGCAAACCAGUCUCCAAUCAUCUACGUAUAUUAUUAUAUCGCGAAAUACCAAGUCUAAUGAAUCGAACGUCCAAACGAAUGCCGCCUCGUCGCUUUGUCACCCCUCGUCCCCCUCGACGGAAUAUUUAGGGCCAGAAUUCGAUCGAGAAUUCGUACAUACGCACAAAAUGUGUAUAACGCAAUCCAUUUCCAUUUGUACACUUGAUUAGAAUAUCGACGGUGCGCGUGGGCGAGGGGGAAAGAGGGCGAGAGGAGGAUGAUUCGCUUUCGCAUUCGGUGACAUCAGGCCAAUCCGCGUAUCGGUUGGCGGGGUAUCGUUCGUUUGGACGCUUCGUGAAACACGAGCAAUGUGCAAGCACACUGUUUAAUAUUAACGUUGGUUACGCGUGCAUUAUGUCGCCGGAUAUUUACAUCGCGGAUCACGCGCUUCCACCGCGAAGGUUUUAUUAUUUAUAAUAAAACGGAAGCGCAAAUAUUUUUUCUCGAACUAAUUUUAAACGUGGUUUACGAGAUCAGGAAGAAGGGAGGGAGGGAGAGAAGCUUUGGGUCAAUAAUUGAUGAACAGACGCGCGGUAAGGGUUAUUUGUUGCUGUUCGUGAUAAGAGGAUGUUGGAAAUUUUGAGGAAUAUUAAUCUUUUCCUUUGUUCAAUCGUUUCAUAAAAUAAAUAUUCAACAAUUUUUAGAGAGAAUUAAGUUGUUUAUAUCUCCUAUAAAAAUAAUUCUAAAAUAUAAUCAAUUUCAUUCGCAUAUCAGGAAAUUUUUAUUUGUAGAAACUGCAUACAGGAGAGAGAUUCGCUAUCGUCAUUCUCUUUUUUCUUUUUUUCUUCUCAAAUAUCUCAAAUAUAUUCAAAUCCAAAACUGGGAUUUGAGCAUAAACUCGUUCCUCGGAUCAUCUCCUUCCCUCUUCCUCGAAUUAACCGAUAAGAAACGUUAGGAAAGAAUUCCACUCGAAUUUGAAUCUCCCUCCCUCGCCGUUUGAAAUUUACGAGGGAGCCGUGUAAAGUUAGCAGCUCCGAUUUGCCAUCGGUCAACGAGGGGCAAACAGGGAGAAAAGUAUGAUCCUUCGUGCCGUUUCCGCCUCUCCUCCCUUCUCUCCUUAUUCGAUUUCACUACCAAAUGCGGGAAAAUAUAUACGUUUGCCUCGAUGCACAUAUCAUCACCCCCCUUCCCCCUCGUAUUUUUCUGAGAGGAGGGGGGAAUCGAGGAACGCGAAGGAUCGAAGUUGGAAACAAGGGGGAAGUGCGAGGGACUUUUGAACGAUUUCGAUGGGCGCACCAUAAUGUAUCAUUUCACCGAUGAUCCGAUCGGUGAGUUACGGAGUUUUACGGGGAGCGGAGAGUGGAUUUACGUGGUGGUGCGUGGAAGUUAACCGCUGAUCCGGCUCCAAGUGGCGGAAUUCACUCUUGCACUUUCCAACACCAUAAUUCACGAACCGGUGGGAUAUCCCGGAUUCCGGGACGUUAUGGAAUAAUCUACUGGGAUUUUCCUUUUUUUUUUCCUUUCUUUUUACUCGCCAUCCCUUUCUCUUCCCUUUCUGAACGGUCGAUCGAUCUGACAUCUUUGGAUUCUUUUAAAUUUUUUCGACUUGACUAGAAGGUGAUUUUUAUCAGAUUUCUGGUAUCUGGAUUCUGGAUCUUUUUCAACAAUAGUUGGCAGUCAUUAUAUUUGGAUACAGAAUCGCUUAAUAUUUUAAAGAUAUAGAUUAGUAACUCGGGUCUUGUCCAAAUCACGUUAUUAAUCAUCACUGAUCUCAUUCGAAUCAAACAUUCGAACGAGUCAAGCUUUUCAACUUACCAAUUCCUUCUUCUCUUUUUAAAAUAAAUAAAUAAAUAAAAAGGGCACUUUUCCCUGCCAAACCACCAAACUUGAUCCACGAGGUCUCGAAACGCGCGAUAUCAGACUCUCGCCGAUCAGAUAUCGGUCUCUCGAAGCAGAUUUAAAUCAAUCAAUCAAACACACUCGUACACAAGAGGGAGGGGGGGUGGUGGAUGGGACGCGGCUCUCAGAAAAUCCCGGCGUUAAAUUUCAACCGCGCAAAUGGUAAACAUUUCCAGGAGCUGGCUGCCUCUCUCGUAAAACCGAUCGACCUCGUUACAAAUCAUCCCUCUCCUCCUACCCUCGAGUCGUGUCCCCCUCCUAGAGCGGGAGGACGGAUAAACGCGCAAACACUCUUCUCCCGCUGUGCUCGUUCCCCACUUUUCCAUCUCUAUCUUCCCUCCUUCCUGUUUCUUUCUUUCUUUCUUCCUUCCUUCCUUUCUUUCCUUUUUUCUCCUUCUUCCUCUCUCUUCUCUCCUCUUGUUGCCCGGUUUUUUGCGGCCAAGGCGUUAAACCGGGCGACUAUUAAAACCGCACCGGUUGCCAAUUUCAGGCGAACGGCCAUAUUUCGGUGUCGAAACGUCGAAAAGGAAUUCAUGGCCACCGUUACCCAGCCAGGACACUGUGAAUUAAAGCUCGCCCCUCGGCAAAUGGACGAGCGGAAGAAGCGCGUCGUCGCUGUUUUCUCUCGUUUGUGAUGAAAAAAAGGAAGAGGGGGGGAGAAAGAGGGAUGCUCGUGCACUUAGCGAAUGAUUUUUAAAUUGAAUCACGUUUUUUUCGCCUGGCCGAAAAUCCGCUCUCCGUCUCGCUCCUCCGUCUGUGUAUUCUUCCCCCUCUUUUGUCGUUGUUUCGUCAGAUUCGGGAAAAAGAGGUGGAAUUGGAGGAAAAAGAAGGGGAGUUGGAACAACUCGUCCGGUGGUUUUCUUCGAUGAAGCAAGAAAACUCUGGUUUCUCGCGAGAGGGCAAUUACUCUCGAUUGUUUGGUCUGGAUGUCUUUUGUUUAGGUGUAAAUGUAAAAAAGAAAAACGACAGACGCCCUCUGUUUCCUGCAAACCGAUAGAGAAUCGAUGGUUUCUUUAGGUUCUCCUAGGAUCGUUAAAUUUCUUCUUAUUUCAUGGAUCGUACUCGUAAAUUUUAAUAUCAAAGUAUUGGAUAUAGUUUUUAUAAAUAUGAAUAAAAAGGAGCCACCCUGUCAAAUUUGUGUACGUAUAUUUUUUUUGUAUCAGAUUUAUGGACAAAAAUUUUGAAGCGUUUCGAAGAUCUUGUUAUUUGUCGUAUAAAUACACGAACUUCGAGUAAACUUUAAUAAAUUAUUUCUAAUUGUAAUAUCGAGAGGAACUAUAAAGAUGAAUUUUCUUCGUUUUAAUGGCAGAAAGUUUUAAUAGAAGAUCAAGUUUCUUAAAAACGGUAAAAACUUCUUAAAACUUUAAGAUAUAAUUUAUUAAUAGAAAAGGACAAUAAAAAAUAAUGUAUGAUUACACGUUAGAGAACAAAGUUCGAGUAAACUCGAGGAAAAUUGUUUCUAAUCGAAAUAUCGAAAAUAACUGUAAAGAUGAAGUUUCUCUCGUUUAAAACAAAGUGGAAGUACAAGUUUCGCGAAAUGGUUGAAACUUCCAUUUAAAACUUGAAGAUGUACAAUUUCCUGAUCAAAGGAAGUAAUUAAAAAUAAUAUGCGAAUUCAUUUUAGAAAAAGUUCAAAUAAAAUUCGGAAGGUUAAGUUCCUAAGUUGAAACAUUAAAGAAUGAUAACAAAUUUUCUCUCUCUUUUAAAAUCAAGUUUCGUAAAACAAUUGUAAUCGAUUUUUAAAAUUUCGAAAUAAUUUAUCUAUCGAUAUAAUCAAAACAGUGUACGAAUUAUGGAACAAAGUUCAAGUGAAAAUAAACUUUUAGAAAAUAUUUACAGAUUAAGAUAAAGUUUCUCGAAAAUAAUUUUUUCGUUAAACUUUUAUAUUCUUUUUUUUUGUUCCAGAACUUUAAAAUUUGAAGAAAAGAAAGUAUAAUUGAAAGUAUAACUGCGUGAACUUUCGUUUAUGUUAUACCUUUUAAAUCAAGUAAUAUUUUUUUAUCCGCAAAAUUGACUUUGCGUCAUUUUUAAAUUCUUUGUCUUGUCAAUGGUGGAAAACUUGAUUUCCGACUCGAGUUGUUCGAGAAAUUUGACGCUGCCAAGUUUCACCGACACUUGGCUUGUCAGACUGCAAUUUAGAUUAAAAGGAAUAAUUACAACGGCUAUUUUGCACGGAACUUCACGUGCUCGUAAAUCUGCUCGCUCACUUCUCACGACCGAGAGAUUUUACCGGGAACUUCCGUGCACCGAUAAAACGAAAGCAAAUUAAGACACGUUGCUUACCAGACAAAAAUGAAAUAAUAGGAGUUAGGGAAAGUGGAAAAUUAGGUUGCCUUUGAGCAAGUGUAAAAUUCAUAAAAUAAGGAAAAUACCAUGGACAAAUGGGUUUUCUUAAUAAAUAAGAUGGCGAAAUUAAUUCUACGUCCUUGAGCAAAGUCCAUAAUGAUGUUAUCAAGAUACUUUCAUAAUAAGCUAUGGUUACUUUAAUUAAAAUCGCAGCAUGAUAAACAUCGUAUAAUUAAAACUUAUUAUUUAAAUUUAAUUACAAAUUUUACAAGUUUUUCUAUAGUGAAAAUUAAUAAUCAAGGUAUAGAGAGCAUCUUUGAAAAUAAUCAAGAAAAUAAAAUUUACGAAGCUUCUUUUUAUCUCUAAGUAGAUUUUCGCGAUUUCUAAUUAAACCCGUUAUUUAUUAAAAUUGAAAAGCAAAAAAAAAAAAAAACUGAAAGCACUGUUAUUAAAGCUCGAAUUCGAAUAAAAAAAAUCACAAGAGUCGCAAAAGGUAUAAUUCAUUUCUAAACAAGAACGAAUUCGAUCUGAAUUCAACGAUCGGCUCGUAAUCGAGGUGGAAGGGUGAAGUUUAAACGAACCAUAAGCGUUGUCUAACUAAAUCGGGGGCAAUCUUAUUUCCAUCCUGCUCGAGAAUAGUUCUGGUUGUACGUACGUCGAUUUAGUGUCUUCGACGGGAAGUUUCCAGAUGCUUUUAGUGGCCUUGGUUGGCGUGCAUACUUCCGGCCUGCCGGUUGGCUUACGGGGUUCCCUUCCUAUGCCAGUUAAGCGGAUGUCUUGAAGGUUCGAGGACUCGACAGCUUGCGGGCUAAGUGGUUGUAAUACCUUUAACCGGAAUAUGUUCCAACUUCUGCUGGAAAACAUAGAAUCAGAAAUCUUGAACCGUUUUGUAAAGCUCGUUGAAGAUAAAGAACGUUGAAUUUUGAUGAUAAGAUCUUCAUUGAUCUCGCAGCGUUAAAUGCAAGAAAGAAUGUAGAAUAGGGAUUAGAAUAAUAAUUCAUUCGAAUAUCAUUUCUCUGUUUUCCUUUCUCGUUCGUAUAUCUUUAUUCUGAUCUGUGUAUGUUUUCAUAUUGGAAAUUUUUUUCAUUUGAUUUGCAAUUUUUUAACGCAGGAUCAAAGGGAGUAUUUAAAAAUCGAAUAGGAAAUCGGCGAUGAACGUGUUAACGUGUUAGAUGGAUAAAUUAUACGAAAAUUUUUUUGUUUAAAAGCGAAUAAAGUUUUCAUAGUUUUUUUUUAAUUAUUUAACUACUUUUAUUUUUGUAUCAAAUUGUAUUGAAAUAAAUAUACGAAAUAGAGUAAAGUGAAUUUUUAAAAGCGAAGGAUUCGACGACUUUAAGCGAUUGUAAAGAGUACUUAACCAGAAUGUAAUCCUACUUACCGCAUUGCCAGAAAACUCGUCUCGAGUUGUAUAACAGUUUACCCUGGUACUUUGAAAUUUUCUGCCGGACCAAGUCGGGUUUACGAAGUAAAUUGAAACUAAUUGCGCUUGUCAGCAUUUAACGUUUACUUUGACUACUUGGAAUCUAAUGAAACCGAUGGGAUGUUCAUUGUAAUUUGCUAAAAAUUUAAUAAUCAUUUGAUUAUCAAAAAAUUUAACUUCUUACUUCUCAUAAAUUUUAAAUAUGUUUCGUUGAAGAAUGAAAAAAAUGAAGAAGUAAUUCGUUCAUUUCUUAAUUAUUCAUACUCAUUUUUUAAAGAUUAAUAUAUAAAAUUCUUGUAAUAAGUUGACAUGUUUUUUAUAUGAGUAUUUUUAAACUCAUUGCUUGAUCCAUUUAAAUAUUCCAUGAUAUGAUAAGUUAAACGUCCCAUUAAUAUUUUAUCAUUAAUUAUUUUACAAAUUUGAACGUGAAAAUGGGAGGAAAUACAAACCUGACAAAUUAGAAUCUUUUUAACAAAUGGAAUUCCUGUUAUUGAAAUUUAUUGAUUUUAAAUGCAACGAUUCACUUUUCUCUUUAUAUAAAUGUAUCAAAUAUUAAUUAUACGAAAUAAUAAAUUACAUCAUUAUUAUUUUAUUUAAUUUGAACAUUCUCUCUUUAAUUUAUAUUCAACGUAACAUAUCUCCAAAUAUAUAUCUCGAAAAAUAUUGAGAUAUUCGUUUCAAAUGAAUAAGUUAUCCCAUUUCACAAACAAAAGGAAUCGUUGUGUAAAUAUCUCAGAAGUUAUAAUCAGUCAACGAUGUUUGCCGAGAAGAUUUCUUUACUGCAUUAACUUGAAACUAGAGAGUUACUUCAAACAUUCUUAGAUGAUUAAGAACGUUUUAUGAUGCACGAAGGUUGUCUGCAAUAGUGGAAAAGAAAAAAAAAAAAUUGAAAAAAUCUAAAGGGGAAUUGGUAUACAGAAUCAAUACAAAUACAGAAUCUUUCGUUCACGUAAUAUUUCAUAUCAAACUUCUCUUGAAUUCGUUUCCUUUUGAAAACAAUUUCUUAGCUAAAUUUGAUUUAAUUCUAUCCCAUGUUGUAUACAUUGAUCAAAAUACAUCCAAGAUUCUCAAACAUAAUAUUUUAUCAUGCAAAUUUCUUUUAAAACUUCUAUUGAAUUCCCUCCCCCCCUGAAAACAAUUUCUACGAUUUCUUAGCCAAAUUUAAUUUUAUUCCAUUCUGUUUCAUACAGAUGUCUUAUUCUGUAUCUCAAAUUAUCCAAGAUAAUAUCUUAAAACUUUUUACCUUUUUUUUAAAUUUCUCUUGGCUCGUAUUACACGCAUAACGCGAAUUUAUGCAUUAUAAUGCUUUUGAGGAUAGUUUUACGAAUAUCUUCAUAAAUUUGAGAAGAUAUCCAGGAUAUGGUAUCAGCGGAAAGCAAUGAUCUAACUUAGGUAUCUGUUAAAUCGUAAGACCAAACGGUCGUUCCAUAUAUUUCGGCGAUGUGCUCGAAUAUUUUCCAACUUCGCCCACAGACAAGGAUGUACAGAUGAAAUUGGUGGAACUUAACCGAUUCUCUUCUCGGUUUUACCUCUUUGCUACCAUUGUGCAAAUCCCAGACAUGUUUACGCAAAUGCGGUGAAGUAUUACUUUCCCUCGAAAAACUGGAUUUAUUCGAUGGGAGAACAAGGAAACGAGCAUGGACAGUGGAGAAUGAAAUGUGAAAGUUACGUCUUAAAAUGUAUCAUAUAAUUAUAUAUAUAAAUUAAUUACAUUUUUAAUAUUUUUGUUUUUUACAGAAAAAAAUUUUGAUACUAAAAUAUUGAGUAGUAUAAAUACUAUAUCCAUGGCAUCAGAAAUAAUUCUGAAGAAAGGAUAACAUUUGUUAUAUUAUUUUUUUAAUGAUGGAUAAAUAAUAAUAAGUAAUAUAAAUUCAAAUUUUGUAUAAAUAUCAACAAUUAUUUAGAUCAAAAUUAUUCAAAGUAAAAUAUUAAUAAGAAAAUAAUAAAAAAAUAUCAUGAAGUAUAAACUAACUAUUUAAUAUGUAGAUUAAACUUUUUUCUCUUCAUCUUUGAUUAAACUUAUUUUGCAAUUGUUUCAUAAAUGACAAAUUAAGACUAAUUUCUUCCAAUGCUUCCUAUUUAAUUGCUUUAUAUACAUAUAUAAAAUGAAAUCACAUAUUUUCUAUCUUUAGUCAGAAAGCAAUCAAUCAAAACACAUUCAAGCAAGAAACAGAGACAAACAGGAAGGAAAAAGGCUUUUCCGAGUUAUUUAACAGGGCGUCGAAACAGCAAUGCAAUCAGAUGAUAAAUCACAAAAAUGAACGACCAUAAUAAAUCUCACUUACACGAUUAAUAGGUAAAACGCAUCAGCCAGAAAAUGGAGAUCCCAAUCGAAUUUUCCUCAUUGCAUUUUUAUUCAUAUCCUGUUAACUUUAUUCCCUAUAAAAUAUCCCAAAAAAUAAUCCCGAAAAAGUAAUUGUACGGCCAACAAUAAUCAAGUGCGUAAAUCUGAAAAAAAUUGCAAUCAAAUUGGCCAACUUUUAUUUACAUUUUUAUAAAUAAAUUUGGAUUGUUGAAUCUAUUUGGACACGAAUAAAAUUUCGUUUAUGAAUAUCAUUAUUACUUUUAAAAACUGUGCAACAAUUAAAUCGAAAAAUUUAUUGGACAAUAAAGUAAAAAUAUUAAUAAAUCGCUCGAUACUUUUUAAAAGCUCAGAUCAUUAUACAAAUUUGAAAGAAAUAAAUACAAGAAUAUAUAUUGUUAGUAGAAAAAAAAUUUUAUUACAGUUCCAAGAAAUUAAAAGUUAUUUUUCGUCAAUUUUAAGACUAUUAUAACCAACGAACAAGCAUUCCUUCAUCGUAAAUAUAUAAAAUUAUCAUAAAUCGAAAAGAUUUUAUUAAAGAAAGAAAAAAAAAGAAAUUCAACACAAAUUAAGUUCACGAGCAGAAGCAGUAAAAAUCGGUGAAAGAUCGAGAAAAGUAAUUCUUCCGAUAAUUUUGGAUAGAAUGAUUUAUGACAAGCUGUAUGACGAUUAAAUGGAAUGGAACACUGUGUCAUAGCGCAAGAAGAACGUUCACUGGAAGGGUCAGUUUGUGGGUUAAGUGGUCGUAUUACGUUCAAGCCUGGGACGUGGUUGAACUUUCCACAUAUGGGGACGAAGAGGGACGAUUUAGCUGUCUCUGGGAGGGUUGUGAAGCUAUUCUAAAGUUUCUAACGUUGGUUAUUAUACAAGUUAAUGUCGCUUAAUUUCUUUCUGUGGAAAUAGAAUGUUAAUUUAAUCUUGUACAGUUAAUGAAUUGAAAAUCCUUUAAGAUAUUAUUAUAAUUAAAAUAACCAUAUAAUUCCGGUAUGAAGGUAAAUGUUAUUGGAGAGAGGAUUAGAGAUAAAAUUUUUUAUUUAACUUUAUCGUUAUUUAUACAGAAACUACUAAUUAUUAAAAAAGGAUAGCAUUCAUUAAUAUUAAAUUUGUAAAGGAAAUAUUAUAACUGAAGUCAUGUUUAUUAUACGAGUGUUACAUUAAUCUUUGAGGAAGUUGCUUAAUAAUAUUCAAGAAUAUUCUCUCAAAAUCACUUCCCUCUUCAUCAUUUAACAAUUUCAAAAUGGAUUUGUAAUUUCUUCUUCAGUUUACGCUCAUAUAUAACAUAUCACAAAUAUAUAACGUAUCUCAUAAAAUAAUAAAAUUGAAGAAACAUCAAUUAACGUUUCAUGGGAAAAUAACAAGAUAUCGAGCUUUCUAAUUCGCAAACUGAAACGUCUAGCUCUUAUGGAAGGAACAGUAUUUCCGCUCAUAAGUCUGUUACCUCAUACAUCGGCUUCCUCGAUGUGAUAUGUGUUCACGAAGCUCGCGAGAGGAAGAAACAUGCACGAGAGCACGAAGGGGGGUCGAUCCUGACGCGAGCUAUAGUUCUUCGAAUCAGACAGCCGGUCAAAGAAGGAGAAGAAGGUCACGGAAAAAGGAAGCGAGAGGAAGAGGAAGAGGAAGAAGAAGAGGAGACGCAGGAUGAUAGCAGAGCCAGACUGGACGGCGCUGGUCUCGUCGCUCGCGUGGUAAACAAAGCUGUAACUCUCCUCUCGCGGAGAGGAAUCAAUGGUUGGUAGCGGAGCUCUUCGAGGUACAAACUCGCGGAGUAAACCCUCUCGGAGGCAUCCAUCUUAGUUUUGGCGUAACGUGCAUGCUGAUGCACUCGUGGGGAAUGCUGUCACAGAAUGAGAUAGAAGAGCAACAUUCGAUUUAACAAGUCGCCCGGGUCCUUUCGGCAUUUUGUGGUCGUUUGAGCGAUGACGACGAGGUGAAAACCACCGAGGGAGAACCUGUGGAACACUUGGCACCGUACACCGAGGUCAAUCGCUCGUGACGAAGGUUUUACAAGGGUGGGAAACAAGGGUGGCGAGACUAUUUCAGCAACCAUGGUUAAGCCCUCAAAGGUGGUUAAGUCGAGCUGAAGAUUGUAUUUAGUGGUUCUUCUAUGAUACGAUAUUUGCCGUUUGAUCUCAAAUAAAUUCUAUAUAUUCCUAAAAUGAGAUAAUUAUGUUUUAUAAUUAUUAUAGAAAUUGUUUUUUUUUAUGUAAUUCUUAUUUAUAUCCUUUUAAAAUUAAUUAUCUCUAAUAUUUAAUUAAAAUUUUCAAUUAUAUUUUUAUCUCAUUUUGAUUGAUCGGUAAAAAUAUUGUAAUUAUAAUUUUUAUAUGUUACUAUAUAUAUUCUUUCAUUAGAUAGUAUAUACUUUUUAACAUAAUUUAAUUUUUUCUUUUUCGUGGAUUAAACUCAUUCCAGAUUUCGUAAAUUAUUUUUUUUCAUCAAUUUUCAUGUAUAUAUAUGUAUAUAUACGUUGAAAAAAAUGAGAAAUUAUUAAAAAAAUUAUAUGAUUAUAUUUUUAAUUUAUUACAUUAAUUUUCUCACCAUAUUGCUGGCACUUACGCGCCACCUCUUAGGUGAAGGCGGUAUUAAUUAAUAAUUGCGCAUUGCGCAUCGUUUCGCGCCAAUAAAUCGACGCCAUUAGAACACUAUACGUUACGCGGUACGUGCACGCAGUGAAAAAUUCGUUCGCAUUUUCAUUUUACAAAGACAAACGCGUGUGAAUUGAAUAUUGUGAAAUAAAUAAACGUUCGAAUAAUCAUCAGUGCGAAUAAUAUUAUUUCAAUAACAUCAAUAACAUCAAAUUUAUCAGUGAUUCAGUGCUAUUCAGUGUGAGCUGCGAAACAUAACCAACGAAAAUGAGACGCAAUAAGACGAUUGUUCAAGAUUAUCGAAAAUUUAUAGAAGUUUCCAAUGCAAAAAGAAAAGAAAAUGCAGCUACUUAUUAUU
This is a long non-coding RNA of Apis cerana (Asiatic honeybee), 27705 nucleotides long. RefSeq lists it as uncharacterized. NCBI's taxonomy places the organism in Eukaryota, Metazoa, Arthropoda, Insecta, Hymenoptera, Apidae. The record is from RefSeq and is a predicted model, not a curated record.